Long non-coding RNA from Bos taurus (domestic cattle), 1623 nucleotides. The record is from Ensembl. Lineage: Eukaryota; Metazoa; Chordata; Mammalia; Artiodactyla; Bovidae.
CCAAAGAAAGGCAAUGCCAAAGAAUGCUCAAACUACCACACAAUUGCGCAAACGCUAGUAAAGUAAUGCUCAAAAUUCUCCAAGCCAGGCUUCAGCAAUACAUGAACCAUGAACUUCCAGAUGUUCAAGCUGGUUUUUUUCUAAAAGGUAGAGGAACCAGAGAUCAAAUUGCCAACAUCUGCUGGAUCAUCGAAAGAGCAAGAGAGUUCCAGAAAAACAUCUAUUUCUGCUCUAUUGACUAUGCCAAAGACUUUGACUGUGUGGAUCACAAUAAACUAUGGAAAAUUCUGAAAGAGAUGGGAAUACCAGACCACCUUACCAGCCUCUUGAGAAACCUGUAUGCAGGUCAGGAAGCAACAGUUAGAACUGGACAUGGAACAACAGACUGGUUCCAAAUAGGAAAAGGAGUCUGUCAAGGCUGUAUAUUCUCACCCUGCUUAUUUAACUUAUAUACAUCAUGAGAAAUGCUGGGCUGGAAGAAGCACAAGCUGGAAUCAAGAUUGCUGGGAGAACUAUCAAUAACCUCAGAUAUGCAGAUGACAGCAUCCUUAUGGCAGAGACCGAGAAGAACUAAAGAACCUCUUGAUGAAAGUGAAAGAGGAGAGUGAAAAAGUUGGCUUAAAGCUCAACAUUCAGAAAACUGAUAUCAUGCCAUUUGGUCCCAUCUGCUGCUGGUGCUGCUGCUAAGUCACUUCAGUCAUGUCCGACUCUGUGCGACCCCAUAGACGGCAGCCCACCAGGCUUCUCUGUCCCCGGGAUUCUCCAGGCAAGAAUACUGGAGUGGGUUGCCAUUUCCUUCUCCAAUGCAUGAAAAUGAAAAGUGAAAGUGAAGUUGCUCAGUGGUGUCUGACUCUUAGUGACCCCGUGGACUGUAGCCUACCAUGCUCCUCCAUCCAUGGGAUUUUCCAGGCAAGAGUACUGGAGUGGGUUGCCAUUUCCUUCUCCUAUCACUUCAUGGCAAAUAGAUGGGGAAACAGUGGAAACAGUGGCUGACUUUAUUGUUUGGGGCUCCAAAGUCACUGCACAUGGUGAUUGCAGCCAUGAAAUUAAAAGACGCUUACUCCUUGGAAGGAAAGUUAUGACCAACCUGGACAGCAUAUUAAAAAGCAGAGACAUUACUUUGCCAGCAAAGGUCCAUCUAGUCACGGCUAUGGUUUUUCCAAUAGUCAUGAAUGACUGUGAGAGUUGGACUAUAAAGAAAGCUGAGCGCCGAAGCAUUGAUGCUUUUGAACUGUGGUGUUGGAGAAGCCUCUUGAGAGUCCCUUAGACUGCAAGGAGAUCCAAUCAGUCCAUCCUAAAGGAGAUCAGUUCUGGGUGUUCAUUGGUAGGACUGAUGUUGAAGCUGAAACUCCAAUACUUUGGCCACUUGAUGUGAAGAGCUGACUCAUUGGAAAAGACCCUGAUGCUGGGAAAGAUUGGGGGCAGGAGGAGAAGGGGAUGACAGACGAUGAGAUGGUUGGUUGGCAUCACCGACUCAAUGGACAUGAGUUUGGGUAAACUCCGGGAGUUGGUGAUGGACAGGGAGGCCUGGUGUGCUGCAGUUCAUGGGGUUGCAAAGAGUUGGACAGGACUGAGUGACGGAACUGAACUGAACUGAAAGUGUCAGAAUAUGUAAAAAUGUUG